UGGGGAAUCUUGCGCAAUGGCCGAAAGGCUGACGCAGCGACGCCGCGUGUGGGAUGAAGCAUUUCGGUGUGUAAACCACUGUUGCCCGGGACGAACAGCUUCUUUCGAGGAGCCUGACGGUACCGGGUGAGGAAGCACCGGCUAACUCCGUGCCAGCAGCCGCGGUAAUACGGAGGGUGCGAGCGUUGUCCGGAAUCACUGGGCGUAAAGGGCGCGUAGGUGGCGCGAGUAGUCAACGGUGAAAGCCCGGGGCUCAACCCCGGGUCGGCCGUCGAUACUCUCGUGCUUGAGCACUGUAGAGGCAGGUGGAAUUCCGGGUGUAGCGGUGGAAUGCGUAGAGAUCCGGAAGAACACCGGUGGCGAAGGCGGCCUGCUGGGCAGUAGCUGACACUGAGGCGCGACAGCGUGGGGAGCAAACA
This 419-nucleotide ribosomal RNA is filed under the name uncultured Gemmatimonadota bacterium. Its description in RNAcentral is "partial 16S ribosomal RNA". It matches the Rfam family "Bacterial small subunit ribosomal RNA", at positions 355 to 774 of the family's 1533-position model. RNAcentral also lists the same sequence under 1 other name. Lineage: Bacteria; Pseudomonadati; Gemmatimonadota. The record is from RNAcentral.